UUACUACAUAUAUGCUGUAUAUUUUUACACGAAAGGUGGUGAGUUAAAUAUAAUUAGUAAUAGAUAUUAAUUGUUACGUGGUAUAGUAACAUAAUAGUUAUAUUUUGUAGUGAUAGGCCUACCAAGCUUCUUGAUAACUUGCUGUGUAAGAAAUAUAUUUAGUAUCAACUCAUACUAUAAAAGUUAAGCUUUAUAGUAAAUAUAAAAGAUAAAAAAGUAUUUAGUGCUAUAGUUUAAUCAUUAAGCUAUCUUAAAUAAUAAUAUAUAUAAUGUAUUUUUAUAUUUUUUAUUACACUAUAUUUUAUUACUUAUAAUAUAAAUUAUGUAAGUAUAAGUAGUAAGAUUAAAUAUACUAAAGGAACUCGGCAAAUAAGCUGUUCAACUGUUUAUCAAAAACAUAACUAUAUGACAAAACAUAUAGCUUUUCUGCUCAAUGGGGACCUAAAUAGCCGCAGUACUCUGACUGUGCAAAGGUAGCAUAAUCAAUUGGCUUUUAAUUAAAGUCUGGGAUGAAUGAAAGCAUGGGUAGUGACUGUCUUGCUAGUAUAGUAUAUCGAAUUUAAUAAGUAAGUGAAAAUACUUACUAUCAUAAAAAAGACGAGAAGACCCUAGAAACUUCUAUAUUUAUUUUGUUGGGGCGACAGAAUUACAAUUAACUAAUUUUAUUAUACAAGACGUAGUGCAGUUAGAUUAAGUUACUCUAGGGAUAACAGCAUAAUUUUUACAGUUUGUGACCUCGAUGUUGGACUAGGUAUAUAAUUUUUUAAAAGGAAAUUUGAACGCUCUGUUCGAGCAAUAAAACCUACAUGAUCUGAGUU
This 818-nucleotide ribosomal RNA is filed under the name Siretia pallaryi. RNAcentral's name for it is "partial large subunit ribosomal RNA". The record is from RNAcentral. Lineage: Eukaryota; Metazoa; Mollusca; Gastropoda; Stylommatophora; Helicidae.